GACGAACGCUGGCGGCGUGCUUAACACAUGCAAGUCGAACGGUGAACCUCUUCGGAGGGGAUCAGUGGCGAACGGGUGAGUAACACGUGGGCAACCUGCCCCCGGCUCUGGGAUAACUCCAAGAAAUUGGGGCUAAUACCGGAUGUUCACCGCUUCCCGCAUGGGUGGUGGUGGAAAGGGUUUCCGGCUGGGGAUGGGCCCGCGGCCUAUCAGCUUGUUGGUGGGGUAGUGGCCUACCAAGGCGACGACGGGUAGCCGGCCUGAGAGGGUGGCCGGCCACACUGGGACUGAGACACGGCCCAGACUCCUACGGGAGGCAGCAGUGGGGAAUAUUGCGCAAUGGGCGGAAGCCUGACGCAGCGACGCCGCGUGGGGGAUGACGGCCUUCGGGUUGUAAACCUCUUUCAGCAGGGACGAAGCGCAAGUGACGGUACCUGCAGAAGAAGCACCGGCCAACUACGUG
This 463-nucleotide ribosomal RNA is filed under the name uncultured bacterium. Its description in RNAcentral is "partial 16S ribosomal RNA". It matches the Rfam family "Bacterial small subunit ribosomal RNA", at positions 28 to 507 of the family's 1533-position model. The record is from RNAcentral.